Podarcis lilfordi (Lilford's wall lizard) is the source of this 26696-nucleotide non-coding RNA. NCBI's taxonomy places the organism in Eukaryota, Metazoa, Chordata, Lepidosauria, Squamata, Lacertidae. The record is from the annotation of a GenBank genome assembly.
AGCUCAUAAAAUUUAAACCCAUACAUAGCAGAUAAUGGUUGCAUUCCUUUUUGUUUAAUUUGGCUUGAGUCAGUAUGAUAAUACUUAAUUGCUUGACUAUUAAAUUCUUUGUUAGGAAAUGAGACAAUUUUUGUCAUGGGAAUAGAAGUGAAACACCUAGUUGUGAAUGGCGGAUAUUGCUGAAAUCCAUUAGGGGUGCCAGCAUUAUGAUGAUACUUCGGUCUAAUUUCAGCGCCCUUCAUUCCUGUGUUGAACAACACAGAAACAAGGAGUGGGGGCCUCACUGGUUCUCCCACACCUGGCACUGAACACACUUCCCUUGACAUUUGCAAGUAUAUCACAUGGGAGCGUUCUGGCUGACCACACAGUGUUGAAGAUUCUGGGGCAAUCUUCACAUACACAGGUGUGUGCCUUCAUAUGUGUGAAGGCACAUACCUCCCGCUCCCCAUUACAGACAUUAGCAAGUGUGCAACAUAAGGGGUUGGGCUGUUUGGUACAGCCCUGCUCCUUGCUUAGGUGUUACUCAACACAGGAACAAAGAACACCCAGAAAGGGUUCCUUUGGUUUGGACCCUCAAGGCCAGACUACUAUAAAGGUCUGCCAUGGAAUGCAGUUGCAUUGAGGUUUUUAGGGAGGUUAGAUGGAGCAGUACUGCCAGUUGCUUUGCUGUGACAGCAAGUAAUGUUUGGACAAUUUCUUAUUAUAUUCUCUAUCAGGCGUUCAGCAAUAUCUAUGGCAAUAAUGUUUUCUUACAUUUCUUUUCAUUAAGGGAGCAACUGAGAGAAUACUAAGAACUGCUCAAGCAGAGAGAGAAAAUAGAGGAGAUGGAAGAGCAGAGAAAUGAUGAAGAAAACAGAAUUCAAAACGGUAAAUAAAUUUAUAUUAUAUUGCCCUUUGAAACUCUCAUACCCACUACAGCCAGUGUAAUCCACCAUUGCCAGCCAGAGGGUUUAAACAUUCUCAGUGUCCAUGUGAAGAAACACAUAUAUAGUGAAUUGAAAGCAUACAUUAAUGUACAGAACAAUUUUUUUAUUCCUUCCAAAUACUGAUAUGUGAUUCUAGGUGAGAUUAGAAUCUGUACCAGGACACAUUCCUGGCCUACCUGCUCCUGGGAUUAAAUACAUCCUGUUACUGCAGUUAGAAAGCAGCUCUGGAAAAACACACACGAUACUGGCAUUCAUGACUUCUGAAACACAAAACAGCUCAGACACAGAGGAAAUGGGAUACUCAGUCUUCCGCUCUUUCAGUGUCAGGGAAAAUGUAAGUUAAAUAUUACAAAUCUUUUUUGACAGAAUAAUCCUUUUAAAAGAACUUCUUUUCUUUCUUUUUUGGGUGAAGUUGUCCGAGUUGCAUUAUUUUUUAACAGGAGAUACUAGUUUUUGGAACAUUUCAGAUAAACAUAUGGAUGGAAAACAGUUAUUCGUUGUUCUUCACUUGGUAGUCAGCUGUGCUUACCUCUAAUAGUUUAAUGUAGGAUCAUUUUCAUGCUGUGCAGAGUGCUCUAGAGGAUUCCAAAGGAAAGGAAAUUCAGCCAGUAAGUUAAUAAGGCAACCUGUAUUUUAGAUCUUUAAUGGAGCACACUAGCAGCGGUGAGAGGAGAUAUGAUAGUCAUCUUCAAAUAUUGAAAGGGCUGUCACAUGGAAGAUGGCGCAAGCAUGUUUUCUCCUGCCUCAGAGGGUAGGACCUGAACUAGUGGAUUCAAGUUACAAGAAAGGAGAUUCCAACUCAACAUCGGAAAAAACUUUCUGACAGUAAGAGCUGUUUGACAGUGGAAUGGAGUCCCUCGGAAGGUGGUGGACUCUCCUUCACUGGAGAUUUUUAAGCAGAGGUUGGAUGGCCAUCUGUCAUGGAUGCUUUAGUUGAGAUUCCUGCAUUGCAGGGGGUUGGACUAAAUGAUCCUCAGGGUCCCUUCCAACUCUACAAUUCUAUGAUUCUAAAAGAGCAGGAGACCUUAGUGUAUGUGAAAUAAUCUGCUCUGUUGUUUCUAAAAGACAGUUUCCUUCCCAGACUCUUUGUGUGGCUGUUCCAUUGGGCUUCUUGCCUUUUCCAAAGAACACCAACGCUUUGGCUGUGUACACAUUACCAUAUACUUUUGUUCCAGCGUGUUUCCAUUACUGCUGUCUGAAGUCGUGUACAUGUGACAACAGCUACAAUCCAUAUCCACCCUAGUUUCUUGAGAAGUACUGGACUGAGAGACAUGAAAGUAAGGUUGGCGAGUUUGUGGUUAGAAAUACUCCUGUUUGAUUCAUUUCCCCUCAGACCAAUUUCCAUCUGAUUUGAAAACAUAAGUUCAAUUUGCAGUUGAGGUGAGGUGUGUACAUUUGAGACAGCUGUUGCACACAUCUAGAUGGCAGCAUGUGCACAGAUGGCAGCUUCAUGUAUAGGAGUGGGGUAUGCAGCCAUAAGGAAACCAAACAUAUAAUACACAUCAGGUGAUGACAUCCACACUCCGUCUCCUGUAUGCACCUCAACAUGCAAAUGCAACUUGAAAUUCAUUGAGGGGAAGCAACCUCACUGUGUUUUGAAGCUGCUAAUGUGUACAUAGCUUUAGAAGCUUAAUCUUGUCUCCUCCUCAGGUUCUUGUACACUUCCUUCCAAAACAAGGUUUCACUCCAGAGUAUCCAAAAAGCUCACCUUAUUCUUUGUCCUACAAUAUCUUGGGUUCCUCUUCAUACAAGCUAAUGUACUAAUACCUUGAUUUUUAAAGUACACAGCUUCCAAGUAUGUAGAAAUGUUGUUGCAGCUAAACCUUCUAUAUUCUUUAACUUUUUUUGUUUUGUUAAAAAAGCCACAUUAUGCUUUUCAGGUCCAUUUCUCCCAGCCCUAGAAGUCCAUGCAAGCUUCCUUGAAUAAAUCAAGUUGAUGUUUCUUGAACGUAAGGUAGCGCAGCACAGGGCAAAGCAGAGGGUGGGACUGUUGGCUUAUGUUUAAGGACAUGAUUAAUUUACUCAACUUUUGCAUGCUUGUUAAUGCAGAAAUUAGUAUUUUAUGAGGAAAGAGAUCUCCCCUUUAAAUAAUGCAACCUUUAUUAACUUCAUAUUUUAUACACACACAUCUUUCAUUGCUGACAGAAUCUGGAAAAGUUCUUGCGGAGAAUAAAUUCUCCUAUAAAAUGUUUUAGUGGGCCCCUUCGGGUAGGAUGUUGUGAGGCAGACUGAUUGCUUAAGCCCCAGAAACAGUAGUCAUCGUUGUGUAAGUUGGUGACCCUGGGAAAAAGAAUAAGGGAGCGGAGGCCAUUGGUGUGUUUUUUUUACGUUGGUGUGGCUGCUCGUAGGCCGUUUGAUCUGUGCUUAGACGAGACAGUCCUCCAAUUUAGGUUCUGUCCUGCAGGGAUGACAAAGAUAUUUUUGGAACACUAGGUCAUUAUAUAACUGACCCAGACAUUAUCUGAACCUAGCUUGUCCAAAGGUAGACAAAGGCGAGGUGCCCAAAGCCAACUAAAUGGCCCUGGAAAGCUGCUUAAAUGUGCCUUAUCUCAGACAUGGUAAUUGGCUUUCUACUGGUGGCGAGUACAGUUCUGUUAAAGGCGGGCCUGAGGGAACCACUCUUUUUUGGACUGUAGUUUAUUAUUAGGUGAGGAAAUUACUGGACACCUCCAGCUGUCAUUAAUCAGCCACGGAGCCUGACUGGAGCCAAGCAAGAGGCCUGUGGGUGUAUUCCGCUGCAUGGUAGGGAAAUACAACGAGACAGAGACAAAUGCUUUUCAGCCUAGCAGCACUAAACUCUGCCCUUUCACAGACCUUAACAUGCAUGUUCAAAUUGAUUUAGUCUGUUUACCCCCUCAGCUUUGGCAUCCAUUUCCCUUUAAGACUGACAGCUUUAUGUGUCACUACCAUGUUAUUAUGUGUUACCGUUCUACCAGUAGCUAUAGCGUUUCGGACAAGUGUAAGGAAAAUAUAUUUACUUCCAGACACAGAGGAGGACUUGGUAGUUCUGACAGUGCAGCUAGGAAAGCAGAGUCAAUUAAUUACUUUAAAAAGAAAAAAAUGCAUGUGUUUCCUCCUUUUAUUUUCUACUUUCUCCUCACUUUUCUAGCCCAUUCCAAUUCAUGUUAAAGAAAAAAAAGAGAGAGAGAGAGAGAGGUCGGGGGAAGCCUUAAAUAAACUUACGUGAUUGAGAAACACAUCUGUCAGGUGAUGUAAGUGUCUGGCUUAUAAUUCUUCCUCUCUGGUUUACAAACAAGAAAUUUCUUCAUGGCUGUGGAAUGCCGACUUAAAGUCUGCUAUAGGUGUGUGCCUCUCAAGCAAAAAAUGAACACAAGUAGCAAAUCACAGGGUUGACUUGGCUUGUAAACACCUUUUAACUGUAUUUUCUCUUCUCUGCUGUAGGGACAGAAUAUACAUGGAAUGUGAAUGGAAACUGAAUGUGGCUAUUUAAACACGAUCUACCUAACGAAACAUGAGCCAAACAGCCCUCUCUGUUUUCCCACUGCCAGUUAGGUGAGUCCUGUUCUCCUUUGCAGGUGUUCUCUUUGCCUUUGGGUAGCAGCCCUUCAAAAGUGACAGGUUCUGUGAAAUUACUACAGUUACAAACCCCUCCAACCACUGAUUUGAUCUGUGGUUGGGUCGUCAGCAGGAUGAGAAACUGAGGAAACUGUGAGUAGUUUCACAUGAAGAGCUACAAUAUCUAAAGUCACAGAAGGGCAACUAUGAGAGUGUGUUGACAUACCAUACAGUGAGAUUGUGGCUCACCUCACAGGAGCACAUAGUUAACAACUUGACAACAACUGCACACUGAAAUACCAUUGCCCCUGAAACCCUCACUGUCAGGAUUCUUCAUUCCUGACCUGUGCUGCCUUAUACUACCAUUUAUGUCUAGUGUGAAAUUUCUCUAGGCUGUAGAGGUGCCUUGGAAUGAAAGGUAUACAUUAAAUGUACCACUACUAUUUUUAUUUAUUCAGCUCUUCUGGGUGUAUUGACUUCUCCAUGUUUUUAUGAGUUGCCUGAGGCAGCUUUUGCUAAAGGUGUUGAUAAAACCUUUUCAGGUGAAAUGGUGGACAGCUGGACCAUAUGUCCCCCCCCCAAUUUUCCCCCAGCUAAAGAUUGUUAAAUAAUAACUUGAGGGUAUUUUCUCCUAAUGAGCAAUAACCAUAUCCUAGGCAAAAUAAACUACAGGCCACAGGCCUAGGUGUUUAUUAGCCAAGGAUAUGGUCAGUAACUUAUUUUGCUAGAAGCAUCCUCUAGCUCUUAUUUAAGGCUGAUGCAAAGGUUACUUGGGCUGAAAUGAAGUGAGUAGGAUGAAGAAACUGUGUUUGUGUUUAUUUUACUGAAUGUACCUGCAUGGCAGGCAAGGCCUGAAGCGCUGAAUAUAACAAGGAUCAGAAUCUUGAAAUUAACAGCCUGCUUUACUCAAGUUAUAAAAGCAAAUUAAUUAAAUAUUUUCAUGGCUGCUAGGAAAGCACUCAACGGUUUAGUCCCAUAGAGAGAAAUGAGAUUGUGUAGAAAUAGUCACAAUGAGGCAACAGUGUCAAUUCAGGGUUAUUAUGGGUUAUAGCAACAGCCUUAUACUGAGUCAAAUCAUUGGUUCAUCAGCAUUAUUUUAACAGAUAAAAAUACCGUACGCUCUUCAAGGUUUUAGACAGCGGUGCCUGGAGAUGCUAGGCAUUGAACUCACCGGCUACAACCCUUCUCUUGUGUUUCUUGUUAUGGAAUGAUUCCCAGAGUCUUUAUACAGGGAGCAAGUGUUUUAUUUUCAAAAAGAGAGGUGCUGGGGCUCUAAGGCAGGAGUUGCCAAUGUUUCUGGACCACUGGGUACAUUUGUAAUCCUCAGAAAGUGUUGUGAACACCAGUCACAAAAUGAGUGCUCUCUGUGUGUGAGUGGGAGAUUAAUAUUACACAAAAUGACUGUUGUGGGGGCAUAACACAAAAAAAGGCUGUCACAUCUAGAAGAGCAGAAAAAGAGGCAGGACCACAAAAAUGUGUAGGCAAAUCUCAUAUCAGCCCCCAAACAUCUAUGGGAAUAAAAAGGCACUUUUUUCAUUCACAAUGAGAAGCAGUUUGCACAUCUCCUUUGUUCAGAAUGGGUCAGUGUCCAAUUGUAGUAUCCAAUGAAAUGUGGCCCUGGCUUAUGGGGCAUGUUCAGUGUACAAGCUGAGCUCAGUGCAAACCAGAACUGAGCAGGUAGAUCAAACUUAGUGGGCAAGGCCAUAAAUAGAUAUAAUGAAGAUAGGAGUUAAUGAGAAGGUUGAAUGAGGGUCUGCAUUAUCAUUUGCAGUUCUUGAUGUCAGUAAUAAGGGACUGGAAAAGGGUUGUCAGUUGUCUUGGUAACAAAAUUAAAAAGAUGCAAUAUUAUUUUGUUUUACAACUGUUUAUAGUUUAGUUUAGUUUUGCAUUGUAAUUCUAAUUGGCUAUCAUUUUUGAAACAAUUUACACUGAUAUAGACACAAGCUGAAUGAGCCAAAAAGAUUUAGGCAAAUUGAGUUCUUAUAGAAUCUUGAUGCUUAGCAGGAAUAGCCUUAUUUGAAAAGCUAGUAGAUAAUGAGGUCCAAACUACAGCACACCAUUGUUACUAAAGCAUAAUAAGACUAGUGUAAAAUCUCCCAACAUGUGUGUCUGUGUUGCACAUAAAAUUCCUGGACAUGGAAAUGUCAAGAAAUCAGUUUCUUAAACUAAGACAUUGCCGUUGAAAAUUGAUAUGGGCAUAGUCUUAGCAAAGCAUUUUCAUAGGUUAUUAGUUCCAGUGAGUUUGACCAUCUAUCAAAUGAAUGUACCUGAUACAAAUAUAUAUGGCAUUGACUAAUUGGCAUGCUGACAGUUGGCCUAAGUUAGAUAUAUGAUGUUGUGCCGCUGAGGUUGGUAGAAAAACAAAAAUACAAAAAGGUAGCUAUGCUAUGCCUACAAUUAGCAGUGUAAACAUCUUAAUAGGCAUCGAGGACACAAACAGAUGUUCUAAUAGCGUGUCUGUGAGAAACUGAUCUGUACUACUUCCACUCUAGCUUGACCUCUCAAAGUUUCAGUCCCACUGGGAAUUUCAGUGAUUUAUUAAUUUGGGCACAAUGAAUACCAUAGAGACAAGCAGUCGUUUUUAAGGAGUGCGGAAACAGUGUGUGUUUGUGUGUCAUUUCAUAGGCGUUUUUCUCCCUGAGAAGCACCCUUUUGUAUUUUUUGCACCCUUUUGUAUGGGUGCAAAGGCAGAACAAUAUUCACAAGGAUGUAGGUGUUCAGAGAAGAGCAAAUGUUUCCCCAUUGCUAAGGUGACAAACAGGUCAAUGGUUCCAAUUUGAAUUUGACAAUCUGGUUUAGAAUGUGGAUGGAGAUAUGCGAUGUACAGCUGAAUACAUUACCUUGCCCCAACUGCUCAUGUGUAACUAACUAUACACAACCAUAACUGGAUCAGAGUGAAAAUUUCAUUGUAGAGUGGUGGCAGGAAAUUAAGUCGGUAGUGCAGUAUUUUAAGUCAUUGCUUGGGCAAUUGACAAUUAAUUCUUUUUUCCCUAUUCAGAAUGAAGGCAGUGGUAAUCCCUUAUUCACCCUCAGAUGCAUUGUAAAAAAAUUGAUGAAAACCCUCAAAGAUAGAGGGAUUUUGCAGAGGAAUUUUUGUGUCUCUCAACUGCAUACUUUUUGCAUAAAAUCUCAAAUAUCUUUAUAAUUCUGCACAACUCUGGUUGCAAUAGGGGAAGUGGAGCCCAGACCAGUAUGCAAUUAAUCUGUGAUAAAACAGAAUCUAAUCUCAAAAUUAAUCAAAAUGGAUUGCUGCAGCAUCAUUCUACUACAUUCCUAGAGCAAGGGGAGGAAAGAUUGAUUAUUCAGAGGAUGUGGGAAUACUGGGAAACAAAGAGUGAGACAAAGAGUGAGAGAGCGAGAAAGAGCCAUAGUUGGGCAUAGUUUGGCCAUAGAGAGCCAGUGUGGUGUAGUGGUUAAGAGCGGUAGUCUCGUAAUCUGGGGAACCGGGUUCGCGUCUCCGCUCCUCCACAUGCAGCUGCUGGGUGACCUUGGGCCAGUCACACUUCUCUGAAGUCUCUCAGCCCCACUCACCUCACAGAGUGUUUGUUGUGGGGGAAGGGAAAGGAGAAUGUUAGCCGCUUUGAGACUCCUGAAGGGGAGUGAAAGGCGGGAUAUCAAAUCCAAACUCCUCCUCCUCCUCCUCCUCCUCCUCUUCUUCUUCUUCUUCUUCUUCUUCUUCUUCUAGUUUGUGGAAAGCAAGCCUGAAUUUGAGAUUAAGAAAAGUUUAUUUUGGGCCAAAGAAUCCCCUGUAAAUAAUUUUCUUUGUAUUGUUAAUUGGGGGGCAGGGCGGAAAUGCUUUCUGGAAAUUCAUUAUAAUUGCAUAUUUAUUCAAAAGCACUUUUGUAAUGGUAGUCCAUCAAGAAAGUGUUUCAAAACCAAGACCCAAUUUCCAAAGCUAAUGCAUACUUAAUAUUUUCUGAAAGAUGUACCAACAUUUCAGUGAGAAGGGGUUGUUUUGCUGUAUCUUGAAUCCUAAUGUUAAACUUAAUUGUUUCUCCAAAGCUGCUUAAUAAAAUGAUCCUGAUAUGUGCUCUUGUUUUCUUCAACAUGAGAAAGCUGAGUGGUACAAGAUCUUGAUCAGUUACAUGUCAAAUUAUAUGUCCUUUCUCUUUUAUAAGAACUUCUUAAUAUUAUUUGCCUAGAAUAAAUGCAGCCUUGACUUUGCAAACAGUGCUGCAUAUAAUCAGUAUGACUCACAACAGCAAUACUGACAUACUCUAAAAUGAGCAAGUACAUAAAUCAGAAUUGCUAUCUCUGCCCCACUCCACUGCCCCGCUGACAGGAUUUGUGUACAUCUACUAGCCUCUUGGAAGGCACAAAGUCAAUGGAUAGACCCAUCUUCAUUGUUCACUAUGCUGUGAAAGCAGUUUCUUGCCAGGUAUGUAGCUGUUAAAAGCUCAGGAACCCUAUCAAGAGGAAAAGGUGGAUGGACACAGUGGUAGCAGGAGAACACUUUCCGUAUCUUUUCCUGGUGAGCUGAUCAUAAUUCACCUAAAAUUUUUGUAGUCCUCAUUUUGAGAAUGGAAAACUGCAAAGGAGAGGAGGGAAGUGAGGGAUGAAAGAGAUAAUAAUAAUAAUAAUAAUAAUAAUAAUAAUAAUAAUAAUAAUUUAUUAUUUAUACCUCGUCCAUCUGGGCGGCUCCCAAUCAAGUGUUAAAAACUAUACAGAUAAGAGUAGUUAACAAGAGGUUAACCGUCUACAGUAGCUAUUCAGGUCUCACCAUGCUUCUAAUGCCACAGAUCAAUAUGGUAGAGGAAACAAGUUUGUAAAUAUCUGUGAGAAAAACUGUAGUACUGUAGGUCCACUAGCAACUGGGCACUUGUGGCCCAAAGGUUUCAUUUGUUGUUUCAAACAGCACAUCUGGAUGGCAUCAAGGAUCAUUUCCACAUGCAGCCAGAUGUUAUUAUCGCUUGCCAAAAAAAAAAAAAAUCCAUUGGGGUCAAUGGAGGUAAUAGCUUGCAAACGGACCAUAUCUAGGCUAGGAGCCAAGCUGGCAUUCAUUUUAUGAAUGUUUUUGCAAACUUUUUUGUCCUCCAGAAGAGGAUGUGGAAUCAACAACAAUGUGUCAAUCAUUCUAGUUGCUUGCACAUGGAAUAACAGGUUGUAGGACAUACCUGAAAUAGGUAAACUUGGUCGGACUGGGAAGAUUCUUGCUCAUCUCUCCUCUAAACAACACUUGCCAGUUCCAUUUAUUUAUAUUGCCGACUUAAGCAAACGUUCACUGCUCUUCCAUUAGUAGCAAUAGGACUUGAUUUUGACUGGAUUAUGCUCACAAUAUUAGUUGGUGAAACCACGAUCCUUGCGUAUCUGAAACAGAGUGAUGCAUUACAGACUUUAAAACAGGGCUGAGACAUCUGAAGAAGGCAGCAUUCCCUUCUCAUGGGUGGGGCAGAGGUAAAAUAAAUGGAGCAAUAAGUGUAGCUCAAGUUAUACAGACACCCCUUUCUAGUAUCUUAUGAGUCAUGAUCAGGGGUCAAUGACACAUUCCAGGCAGGCAAAAACACUCAAAAGAGGGUGUGAAGCAAGGCUAGUCAGGGGGUCUCCCAAGGAGCCCUCCGGGCCUCAGAUUCCCCACUCCUGCCUUAAAAUAUGUAUGGUGGGUGCCAUGCUAAUAUGUGACAAGGGUGAUAGGCUUAUAUGGUGGCACUUAGGGUCACCUCUGGAAUGAUGCUUCCUUUCUGUUCAUCUGAUAAAUUGGCAAGAAUCCAUGUUGUGCCUUCACAGAGCUGUUAUGAAGGACAUUCUUUUCCAUGGCUGGCUGGACUGCAGCAGGCUUUAGGCUAGAAUUAGAAUGAAUAUUCCAGUAUUUUCACAUACCAGCACUAGUAUGAAAGUAGUGGGGGCAUAACAUGCCUCUACUCCUGUGUUUGCAAAGCAAAAUAAUAGAAAACAACCCUGGUCUGCUGGUAAAAAAUUGAUACGGAAUAUUUGCUUAUGCCAACAAUUUUAAGUUUAUAGCCUGGAAGAGGCACCCAGAUAAUGUUAGCCUUAAUUGCUGUUUUCUUCUGAACAUGGGAGUAGUCCAAAGGCCGUGAAUGGAAAUUAAAGAAAAAUUAAAAACAGAUGGCAGAAAGCACUCUGAGAAACUGAAACACAGGCAGUACUAUGCUCAAUUUAGCAGAAAGAGAGAGGGGUGUCUCUGGAGUUACUAUGUCCCCUUCUCCUUGCAUAAUAUAUCUUCUCAGGCUGAAGUGCACAAUAGACUGUUUCUCUGAAAUGUCCCACACAAUUCAGAUAGCAGCUAUUGGGUCAGAUUGCUUUUAUUUUCAGUCUUGGUUUUGGGAGCCAGAGUGAGAAAAAUCUUGGCUUUAAAUUACUUGAUUUUCCCAAGAAGAAACCCUAUGUGUUUGGCAAAGCUGAGUGGGACAGAGGAGUGGGUCAUACAUAUCGCUUUCAGGGGAAUCUUACAGAGAGGAUUUCUGGAGUUGCCUCACCUGCCAUAGCUCACAAUCCUCUGUGACACUUGCGGAUUAACAGAGGCUGGCCCAGUAGGGCAAAUGGAGCACUGGCCCAUGGCCUUAGUCUGCCCUCAGCCAGCUCCCCAUCUGCAGACAGCCAAUAAGGAGCUGGCUCUGCCUGUCAAUGGCUCUGGCUAGGGAAGUGGAAUAAUUGGAUUCAGUUCGUAUUUAAAGGCGAACCUACCGCUUUGCACUUUGUGAAACAUAACACGAACUGAAACACAGUUCUCCUGCCAAGAAGCGGGUGAAAAAGAGCAUAUGCUAGGGGAAAGUGUGCAUAAAAAUGCACAUGCUAGUGAAAAUAACACAUUGUGGUUUAAGAUCGGGGGGAAAGGAGGUUCCUUUAAGCUGAUGUGUUAGGUGGGAGAAUGUUGUCUGGAUGAGGAAGAGCAGCAGCCUGACAACCACUGUGCCUUUGCUGCGCAUAACUGCAUCUAGAAAAGCCUUUGAUAUGGCUCUGUGGGACAGUGUGAUACUGCUUGAGCGGUUGGUGGUCAGGUGUAGGGAGUGAGGGGUUCAGACUAUGAUCCUAAACACCCAGGUUUUUUGCUUCCAAAUAAAUACGUUUAGUGCUGAGUUAACAAUACCGUUCUUGAAAUACAAACUCUCUCCCACCCCCAUACCUUCUGUCAAGAAGAGCAGUCAUUAGAAAAAAAGUCACAAUUCAGAGAGCAGCCUCAAAGUCAUUAUAUUGUUAGUAAAAUCUGUUGAGUAGGUGGCAAAUCAUGUUUUGUUCAAAAUUUCUGCCUUUCUGUGAGAAUUAGGAACCUGGAGAUGGUGAGCAAGGGGAAGUAAAGGCUGGAAUAAAACUUCAAUUCUUGGAGAUGUUUCAACAAAGAAAUAUUUCUGCUUCUCCCUCACACUCCUCAAAAUCUUAAAAGAAGGGCUAGCCCUGGAAUGUGCUAGUCUAGAUAACAGUAACCUCUGCAUCUACAUUUCAUAAUCUUUUUCUUCCGGUCAACCAGCUGUGAUUCCUCAAACCAGAUAAAACAGAAUCUGGUGAACUUCAGUUUAUGUUCACUCACACCAAUGGAGGCCUUACUUAUUUGGAAUUUGAUGGAGAGCAUUAAUUAUAUGAUUAGAGUUCAAAUAACAUGUUGUAUUUAUGAACAGGAUUACUUCCAUGGGAGGAAGUAAUCUCACCUAAAAGCUGAAUUUUGCCAGAAAAAUAGAUGUAUGAAGGCUUCAGCUCUGCAAAAAUAAUUCUGCUGUACAUCAUCACUCACAGUUCCCAGAUUAAAUUGCUCCAAUGUACCGUCACUGAAAUAUAGUCCAUUGUGGAUAGCACUACUUCUCAUUAAAAGUCUUAGUUAUAUACAGCCCUGUAAUCUAAGACCUGGUACUGACAGGUAAUAACAGACUAGCAGAUACAUAAAGCCAGGAAUUAGGCCUUGCAGUAAGCCCAGAUCCAAUUUCUUUCUCCAUAUCAACUUCUGGUAGCCUAGGGUGCUUUCUGAUUGUUGGGGUGUUGCUCCUCAUGUGCGCAUUUCCGCCAGCAUCCACACGGCAUCAUCAUUAACAUGCUAGCCUAUAUUCUCCCCUCUUUAAUUUGGAUUAAUUGUCCCUGGGGAAUAUCUCAUAAAUUAAGAGAGAGAAAAACAAUGACCCCUAUGCCAAAUCUCAGCAACCCAUUUGCAAUAUUAAGCUCAAAACUGGGAGCACCCACUAUUAUAGCACAGCAAAGCUAUGGAGAUUGUGUUAUUACAGAUUGGUACUGCUCUCAGAGGUCACUGUUCCUAACCAUGCAGGAUCCAUCAAUAAAGUAAAUAACUGGAGGAAGUAGGACUGCACACCACUACCCCACCAUAACAUUGCUCUGCUGGUCCUCCUGCCUGAUGUCUUUACAUUGAGUUGAGUAUGUGAAAACAAGUACCUUCAUGUACAUAAUAAGAUGCCUCAUGCCUAUUCCUAUCAUCCUUAAAGAUAGGUGACUAAAUUCUGAGGAGCACUUUCACAAAGCUGACCACCCCACAUUUUGGUUAACAAUUAUAGUAGCAGUAGUAGUAGCAGUAGUAGUUGUAGUAGCAGUAAUAGUUUGUCAAUGACAUAAACAAUAGCCCUCUUAAACUAUCAAUUAAUGGUUGCCCUUUCUCUUACAUAUGUACUUUUUAGCAAUCCAAAUGAAAGAUCAGGCUAAAUGAUAGUGCUAUUUUCCAGUCAAUUGCCUUUGGUUAAAAGUACAAUAAAGUCAAUUACCCAUUUCCAUGAAAGCUUAUUUUAAAGGAACGGAUAUAUCAUAAUAAUAAAUGACUGCUGGAGAGCUCACAGUUCAAUUAGAUUCAUACUUAAGAAUGCUGUUCGAGAUGAAAUUGUAUUUGCAUUGGAUUUCAUGUAACCUUUUACUUGCAUUACAUUUAUAGUCUAACAUGAACCGGCCAGUGUCUGUAGAAGGCAAUGAUUUUGUACUCAACUAACCACUUACAAGAUAUAUAUGGGCAAGGUGGACAAUAUCUCAUGUCCAAAUCCUUUUUGUGUGUGUGGCAGGUAUGUGCGAGAGUGAAAAUAUGAACUUAUUUAUUUGCCUAUUGAAAUUAUCCUUCCAUAAUCCAAUAUAUCAUGCCCAUAUUAUAUCCAACAGAAAAACCCAAUGAUGUGUUCCCUACAGCUAGCAAUAAUGUGGUUAUUGCUAUGUUAUACAACCUUACUAGUUGUAUUACCUAGUAAUAGGCAGCAAAAAACCAGCAUUGUUCCUGAAUGCCCAGCUUGCAUUUUUAGCCCAAAAUGGAUUUGCCCACCUCUAACUGGUGUGCCAGUCCCUAUCUGGCUUAUGACCACAUGUGCCUUUUUAUAUCCAAAUUGAAAGGCAUUCUCUGUCUGCAAAUGGUGGAGGCAGUGUUGGUCGGGGCAGGGUAUAGUCAGACUAGUUUAAAGGAGACUGUACCCUCUUUGCACGGUGGGGCAGCUGAAUCACUGCAGCUUACUAGGUUUCAUUGCCAUUCUAAGAGAAUGAGGGAGGUGUUCAUGGUUGGUUCUGGCACCUCUUUUUCUAGAAAAAUAGCACCGGACAGGUGCAUAUUUUAUCUGUUAAAGUCCUAAAUGGAAACUAGAGUACACAAAGGACCACUUUAUCCCACAAAAGCCUACUUGGUAAGAUCUCAAUCAAUAGCCUUUCCAGAGCACUUCUACUGACUGAAGUGAGAUUGCAGGUGACAGGGAAAGGGGCCUUUUUAUUGACUGUCCUUUCCCAUCCUUCCACUAGACUGCCUCUCUUUUCUUAUCACUUUUAGAAAGGACCUGGAAAUGUUGCUUUUUCCCUUCUAGUUUUAAUAUGUCUUGAUGCCUUUGCAAUCAUGUAGAACUAUUGCUUUAAACAAUAGAUUGCCCAACCAGUGUCUGCCGUUGCCUCCUAUGGUUGCCUGCAAAGGGUCUCAGUAAACAGCCCCUCAUAAAUCCACAAGAUGGCAUGCCUACACUGUUCUGUCUCUUUUUCUGCUCUUCUAGAUAUGACAGCCAUGUUUUGUUAUGCCAUACGCUAAGGCUGCCAUUUUGUAUUAUACCACAUUCCUAUGGCAGACAUCACAUGUACCCUGGUUACCAUUUUGUGACUGGCACACAUCACACAUCCCCAAAAUUCAAAAUGUGCUCGCAGGCUUAAAAAGAUUGAUGAAGAAACAAGACCUACCAACAGAAACUGUUCUCAGUAAAUUACAAUUUAUCCAGGACUCAGAAGUUAUCUUGGUAGAACCAUUUCAACCUGACCUCAUCUGUUCAACACAGAAUUUUAAAUAGUAUAGAUAUAUCUAAACAUACUUAGAAAAAUGAAUGUCACAGAUCUGAGGACACAGUUUUCAAGCCUGAAAAGGUUUCUGCUUACUGUAGCUUGAAAUAAAUCACUGACAUUUUUGUGUUCUUUUCUUGGGUCUGCCCAAGUCCACACUCUCAGCAAUUCACUACUUCCUGCAACAAUCUUACACCAUACCACUAUGAAACAAAAGCAAAACAAGACUGAACAGCUAUCUUUCCUGGAACUAUAUUGCUAUUGCAGAUGGUGAGUUGAUUUGAGUCUCUGAAUUCCACAGCGUUUUCCAUUACUGUGCUUGGCCACAUAGCCACAUAAUCGUAAGUACAAAAACACUCUCAUCUCAUUUCCCUUGGCUUAAGUACUGCGAUUUGUGCCACUCACUAAAAUGCAGGCACUUCUCCCCCCUUUUAAAUUUGAUAUUUCAAUACCAUCCACCAGCUCUUCUGGCCACUUCAGAAUUUUCCCCAGUCACAGUUCCCACUCUAUGCUCACUUUUAGGCUGGAUUUUUCAGUAUGCUCUGCGAGAUAUAACCAUUUCAUCACACAAAAUGAAAGUGUGAUUCACUGCCAUAUGAAUACAAGAGCAAUACGUAAGCUUUGUGCUCAAGAUACAUGCAAGUUACACAUUCAUAUCAUGCCAAAGCCUUAUUAAAAUUGUUAGUAUUUGACUAAAUAGUAAAUAGCACCCUUGAUUCAACAUGAAUAGUAUCCAAGCAAAUUCACACCAUUUACUUCAUUAUUUUAUUAGUUUUCUAUGCCAGCCUUCGUCCGAGGAUCACAGGGCGGUUUACAAUAUAAACACACAAAAAUACACAACAUAGUAACAAACAAUGUCCUCAGUAUAUUAUUUUAUUUAUUAAGAACUGUGGUGAGCUUGGGGGUGUGGCUUAGCGAGUGGACCUAGGUGAAGCCUACACACACACAGGUUUUACUCUGGUCCACUCCCUGGGCAUAAAAGGAAGGCAUGGCCAGGAAAAUCACAAAUGCUUGUCCUGUGUUGAUUGCAAUCUCAUCUGGGGCUUGCGGCCCGUGGUUCCUCUGUACCUUGGGCCCACAACAUUACAAUUAUGGAAUACUAUUUUUAAUGCUUUGUGGUUGUUAAUGCUUUAUUUUUAGUGCUUUUAUACUGUAUGGGAGACUUUGAUUUGACUGAAAAGGGACUGAGAAAGUGAAUAAUAAUAAUAGUAAUAGUAAUAAUAAUAAUAAUACUGAUUGACUAACAGUUUAUAAGGGAUACUCUUUCAAUUAGAAAUUCAUAUUACAUUUAUUAUCCAAUGUCUUGUUUAGCCUAACUAGAACAUAUAAACUACUGUAUUUACUUAAAUGUAAAGCACACCUUUUUUAGCCAAAUUAUGUCAUGAAAGUUAGGGUGCACAUUAGUUUUGAAAAUUGAGGUGUGCAUUAGAUUCAAUGGCGCAUUAGAUCACGUAAAUACAGAAGGUUAUUAAACCUAAUUGCAAUUUAUUUUUGUAUUUAUUGUAUUUUACAUUGUGAUUUGGAUUUUAUGACUGCUUGAGAGUCAACUUCCAUAUUCUGUUUCAAUGAAUUCUGCAGCUCCACCUUGGACCCUGGCCAACCCAGGAAUUGCCAGAAUACCCUGAGCACUGAUCCUCUCCUGAGAUUUUCCAGCCCAUCACUGUCAAGGAGGACAGCCAGCCACAGAGGAAGCAUUCGAGUUCUGGCAGCACUUUUCAGACAUCCAGCUGCAAUAUGCAUCAAACUGCUAUUGAUGCAGUCUGAUGCAGAAGGUUGGAAGAAACAAUUGUUGCUCUAUGGGUCUCAAAGGAUAAGAGCAUGCCUACAAGGCAGCUGACUGCAGUCACAUUUUGACACUGUAGCACAUAAUCAGAUGUACUGAGUAAGUGGUCCUGGAAAAAUCUGGAGCCUUUCCUCUCAGCACGAAAUGUGAGAACUUGGCCAUGCACUGAUUUUGCUUGCAGUUGUCUUCAUCAGAUGUAUGAAUCGGAUGGAGACUAGCUAGGCUGAAAUCCCUUGCAGGCGGUCAUUGUAGACCUACUACAGCAAGUAAAACAUGUUAAGGACCCAUUGCCAUUAGUCCAUAAGUUCUGUUCAACCAACAUCUGAAUGGCUCUUUUCAUCUAAGGCUGCUGACCUAAGUUGAUCACAGCUUUGAAUAUUUCCUAAUACUUUAGCAAACAAUUCACAUGAAAGUGAGUAGGGCUGAAUAGUGCUUAACUUCUCAUUAAACCAAUUUGGGAUUGGGUUCUACAAUGAGAAACUGAUCCUUUCGUGUCAUUGGCCCCGUCUGGUGGAAUAAUCUUGCCAACAGAGAUUCAGCGGGUGCCUUAUGUGCCAACUUUUAAAUGCCUGCUGAAAACUUUUCUAUUCUGCCAGGCCUAUGCAGGCAAUUAAGAGUACAUCAAUCACAAUGGUCUGCUGAUGUCUGCUUUCAAUUUCUUUUUGCUUUUAACUUGUUUUUAACUUUUUAUGAUGUUAUUGUUUGGUUUUAUGUUUUUAUAUUGCAAACUGCUAUGAUAUAUGAUAUCUAUUUAUGAUACAGCAGUAUAUACACAUUUUUUAUAAAUUAAUGACAUAUUUCUUGAUGACAUUUAGCUGGCCGAGGAAAAUAAUUAUAUACAGUGGUACCUUGGUUCUCAAACUUAAUCCAUUCCAGAAGUCUGUUCCAAAACCAAAGCGUUCCAAAACCAAGGCACGCUUUCCCAUAGAAAGUAAUGCAAAAUGGAUCAAUCUGUUCCAGACUUUUAAAAACAACCCCUAAAAGAGCAAUUUAACAUGAAUUUUACUGUCUAACGAGACCAUUGAUCCAUAAAAUGAAAGCAAUAAACAAUGUACAGUGGUACCUCGGGUUAAGAACUUAAUUUGUUCUGGAAGUCUGUUUUUAACUGGAAACUGUUCUUAACCUGAGGUACCACUUUAGCUAAUGGGGCCUCCCGCUGCUGCCGGGCCGCCGCCGCCACGCGAUUUCUGUUCUCCUGAAGUAAAGUUCUUAACCCAAGGUACUAUUUCUGGGUUAGUGGAGUCUGUAACCUGAAGCAUCUGUAACCCAAGGUACCACUGUACUGCAGUCACACACAAUCAAUCAAUCAAUCAAUCAAUCAAUCAAUCAAUCAGUAGCCGAACUGGGUUCCACAGUCACAAAAAAGCCACAAAAACAAAAAGCAAAAUAAAUAGCAAAAACAGACAGAGCUCAGCGUAACACUCAAAAUGCAAGUGUGGCACUCAAAUCGGAAAUGUAACACUCAAAACGGAGCAUGUUCGGCUUCCGAAAAUAGUCUGCAAACUGGAACACUAACUUCCGGGUUUGCAGUGUUUGGGUUCCAAGUUGUUUGAGAACCAAGGUACCACUGUAGUCUGAACUGUAAUCCAUUGAAAUAUAGGAAGGACGCUGACCAUUGAUUUCACUAUCUCAUUAUUGUCUACAAUAGCCAGCAGCAAUUCUCCAUGGUAGCAGACAUGAAGGUUUCUCUAGAUCUACCUGGAGACCUCAGGAAUUGAACUUGGGACCUGUUAUAUGCAAAGCAUGAUCUCUCCCACUGAGCUAUAGCCCUUCAGCAGGAGGAGAACCCAUAAUUGUUUAUGUAGUGGCAAUGGUUUUGUCCUGACUAUAACACCAACACCACCACUUUAUCCUAAUACGAUAGAUGCACAAACACUAUUAUAAUACCUUACAUAUGAUCUAUUUCUGCAUAUUCAAAGUAUUUUCUCAUCUCAAUCAUCCUUACAAGAUGCCCACAUUAUUAUGCCUAAUAUUGCACAUGGUGGGGUGGUGGUGCACUGAGGCUGAAACAAUCAUGGCUUUAAAGGACGCAAUCCUAUAUAUCAGGGAUAGCCAACAUGGUGCCCUCUAGAUGUUGUUGGGUUACAGUUCCCAUCCUCCUUAACCACUGGCCAUUGUGGUUGGAUCCAUUGAGAGUUGGAAUCCAUCAACAUCUGGAGGACACCACAUUGAGCUAACCCUAAUAUAAACACUUCCCAAGAAGUAAGUCCCAUUUAACUCACUGGCGGUUACCUCUGAAUAGACAUGCACAGGGUUGUAUUGUAAGCUAAUCAGUGAAUGUGUGGCUCAGGUAAGAGUUGAACCAAGGAUUCCCUGGCUUCUGUCACCAAGCGUUGGGUCAUCUUUGGUGCAGAAUGCUUUCACCAGACGUGUGAAUUGGCACUGAGCCCCCCCCCCUUAAGAUUAAGACAUAUUAACAAUAAGAUUUGCUGACAGAAAAGUUUUAUAUUAUGCGAAGAUGCCUUACUGAUGUGUAGAAUAUAAACGGUCUUGUAGAUUUACAUGGAUGUUCCUUAUUAUUUUAACAAAGUGUAGAUGAGACAUUAAUGUCAUCUUGAAGAAGUUUCAGCUUUUGAGAUCAAGAGCAGCAGAAAAAGAUUUCCAGUUGUUGGGAAUCUGAGAUUUUAGCAAUUUCUAUUUAUAUAAUAUUUACCACUAGCUGAGGAAAAAGCCCCUUCUCCUGCCAAUAUCAGGGGAAAAUGUCUACAUAAAUUAAGGCCUAGAACUACUUUGGUUUAGAAUUUGUAACAAAUCUUCUGGGAACUUAGAAACCUUGUUGUUUUGUGGCAUUCCUUCCAUCCCCUAAUAUGCUCUAAUGAAUGAUAUUGAAAGAUAAGAAAUGUCUGUUUCUGAAAACAGCUGGCCUGGGUUUGGUUCUUUGGAAGUACAUUAUAAAGUCCUGGUUUAAAACCAAGAAGUUAAUAGGAAUGCUUCCAAAUCAGUUAUAUCCUUCUGAUAUUAAUUAAACUAGUUUAUAUCUAGAAGGAAGGUAAAACUGUAACCAGUACAAAAUUACUUGAUAGCCACUGUUGCAUUUCCAAAUACAAUGUAAGGAUUUAACACCUCAGUUGGCAACAACGUUAGUUUGGUUUUAGCUGAAUUAGCUCUGCUGACUUCAGCAAGGCAAUCCAUUUUAAUCCAAGAACUUUGGUUUAAUUCCAUUGUGGACUAUGCUGGUAGAAUCUGGGACCUCAUCCUAAAUAUAUGUUGCUGCAAGUGAACUCUAAGGCUCCAACUACAUAGAUGUACAUUGGUUCCCUCCCAUUAUGUAAGCACAUAUUUUGGGUCAUGCUUCUCCUGUUCCAAUCCUACAGCAACCCACCCUAACCCUCUGAACAGGCCUUUGGACAUAUCCAGUGGGGCACAGGAGGGUGAGAGGAAAGAGUUGUUUCAUAAGCUGCUUUCCACUCAUGUAACUGUUGGAUUACAACCAAUUCUUUCUUGCAUUUUUAUUUGUUGAAGAAAGCCACACAUAUUGGGUUGGAUCCUAAGAGUUAUGAGCAGACAUUUUUCCUGUGGAAGACAACUUUCCCAUCUUCUCCAUCCUACUGCAGCCCCCUGAAAAGUUGGGACUUUUCCAGAUGACCUAUUUAUUCCACAUUCAUCCUGAUUUGGAGGUUAGAUUAUAUCCAGUCUUCGUUGAGCAAUCAUUCUGAUUUCUUUAUGGGAUGGCUAUAUCACAAUGAACAUUUAUCCUAAAUUAAUUGUGAUUUGCUUGCGGGACAUUUUAUACAUCUUUCCUCUAGUCAUUCACUUAUCACACACCUUUCAGUGCAUUUUCCAUUAAGUUUCCAAACCUCAAGGAGUCCCAUUCUUUUUUUUCUUUCUUCAAGCAGAUUAGAGCAACAGAACCCAUUAAUUGCACAAUCCUAGGCUGUGUACACACCAGAUUUAUAAAGUGUAUUUAAAGUACCUUUCCCCCACCCAAAGAGGGCACUGUAGUUUGUUAAGGGUGUUGGGAACUGGAGCUCUGUGAGGGGCUAAACCAGGCUUCCUCAAACUUGGCCCUCCAGAUGUUUUUGGCCUACAACUCCCAUGAUCCCUAGCUAGCAGGACCAGUGGUCAGGGAUGAUGGGGACUGUAGUCUCAAAACAUCUGGAGGGCCAAGUUUGAGGAAGUCUAGGCUAAACCACAGUUCCCCAAAUUCUUCUUUUUUGAGGGGUGAAAAAAAAUGCUUCAAAUCUAUGUGCUUGAAUCUCUCCCAUGCAAUGCUGACAGUUUUGAGCCAUUCUUAGUGUGGGAUGUGGCUGCAUCUUGAGAAAGGAAUUGAUAUAAAUCAGGGGCACCCCCUCGUAUGCGUAGAGUCUAUUUCCCACUCUCACAAGAGGCCCUUUGGAGUCAACCCAACGACUGCAUAUAUAGCACACACUGAGAAGAUUAGUAUAAUCCAUGACAAAAAGAAAAACACCAGCACUCUUCAGACUAAUUAGACCUCUUAUACAUUACUAUUUUCUGACAGUAGUUAGAACUCCAGCUGUAUGCCACCAGUCGAGUUAACUCCUUUGAGGAGUGUUGACAUGACCAAUAACCGUGGUGGAUAUCAGCAGUCAUUAUAACUACUGCACUGAACGGGAACGUGUCAUAUCGCUGAAAGGGAAUCCCACAAUAUGCAUGUCUAAUAUUAACUCCCUUGAGAAUGAGGUGCAGCAGUAUAUCAAGAGGAAUUAUAGUUCUCUUAAUUGAUUCUUCACAGUGAUAAGAGACAACUAAUAUUUUUUUUUUUAAAAAAAUGCCAUUACUGAUAUUUGGUUCUAUAGGUAGGGCCUGGAGGAGAUGUCCACAUAAGCAGUGUCUGACUAUUGUUGGAUGGGAAGGACUGAUAUGAUUGUUUUCAACUAUUACCAGGAGAACAGGAGGGGCUGUGCCACAAAGAAGCAGCUCUUGUGCUGCAGGAAUAUGUACGAAUGUGGCCUAAAUGAAGGGAAUGAAACUGUGCAUGAAGAAUGCCAAAUCAUGCACUAACAUGACUUCUCAGUGGUGCCUAAAAACUGAUUUAAAGACGCUGUUCUUGCAUGGUUCUUUCUUGGAUUCACACCACUCCAGAAACCUGCAUUGCAAGGGUUGCACUAUAUGACUUUUGGGGUCCCUUCCCACUUUCAGCUCUUUGAUUCUGUGAAACUAAGGAAUUGCUUGCUUCCCCUCCCUUCAAAAUAGUAAUAAUAAUAAUAUUUAUACCCCGCCCAUCUGACUGGGCCUCCCCAGCCACUCUGGGUGGCCUCCAACAAAAUAUUAAAAUACAGCAAUGCAUCAAACAUUAAAAGCCUCCCCAAACAGGGCUGCCUUCAGAUGUCUUCUAAAAGUCUGGUAGUUGUUGUUCUCUUUGACAUCUGGUGGGAUGGCCUUCCACAGGGUGGGUGCCACUACCGAGAAGGCCCUCUGCCUGGUUCCCUGUAACUUGGCUUCUUGCAGUGAGGGAACCGCCAGAAGGCCCUCGGCGCUGGACCUCAGUAUCCGGGUAGAAUGAUGCGGGUGGAACAUUUUGAUCAACCCUAAUCAUCCUCAGUUUGCUCUUUUGUUUUCAUACUGGAGUUCCUGGCCCUUGGUUUCUGCACUGGUUCCUUUCAGCCAACACUCACAUCCUAUCUGCCUAACUGGUUUCUCUUCUCUUUUUACCUUCAUUGUCCACUUCAUGGAUUUACUUUCAAAUGCCUCCAAGGUCUCCCUCCUUUAUAGAUAAACUUCUCUUCUUUCUCCAUAUAGUCUUCCUUGGACCUGUUCCUCUAUGGGAGGGAUGUGGAAGCUGUGGCCCUCUGGAUGUUGGAUUCCAGCUUCCACCUGCCCCACCCAGCAUGACCAAUGGUCAGGGAUGAUGGGAGUUGUAGUCCAACGACAGCUAAAGGGACAUCCCUGUUCUAUGGCUAUCAAGUUUCUUUUUGGUUGAACUACUGUAUUCCAUGCCUAGCUCCCUUUCCCCUUAAGCUUCAUUCAAUUGGAAUGCUCUUCCACCUGACACCCGACUCUCCUUCUCGGUUACUGCACUGUCAAGUAUUUCAAGACACAACUAUUUUCCCUGGCUUUUCUCUGUUAGCAAAGUCACUUAAAUAACACAGAUGGAGUCCAGAGAGAAAAGAAAUACUGAUUACACUUUACUGAGGAAACUGAAUAAAAACAGAGAAAGGAACAGAGAGGUUUCCUCGCUUUUUUACCUCCUGCCCUGUACAUAGCAGGUAGAUAUUCAAUUAAACAUACAGAGCAAAACUCCCUCAGAACUACACAGACAAUAAGAGCACCUGCAACCUCAGUAAACAUGCUACUCAGCUGGGUUGCUGAAGAACAUCUCCCCCUUCCCCCACUUGGCUAGUUGAUGUCAGCACUAACAGAAUUACCCCUUUAAUUCCACAUAGAAUAAUCUCUGCUGUUGUUCUUCAGAAACUUUCAACUAAUGCUGCCUUCCUUUCACUGCAUUGUUCCUCCCUUCCUAAUGUGUCUUGUCUUUACAUGAAAGGGAGGCCUACUUUAUUCUUAACUUUUGUACUUCUAGGUCUUUGAAUAUAAAUAUCAUUUAUAUUUAUGUGUCUCUUUGUUGUCUGUUUUGACUGAUUUGUACUUUGACAAUAAUAAAAGCAAUAUUAAAAAAUAUUAAAAAUAAAAUUUCUAAUAUAUGGAAAAACAGCACAAAGGCACAUUGGCUAAGCAUUAUAUUAAGCUGCAAAGAUAACAUAUGAAAUGCAGUUUCAUUGUAAUGGCAAUUAAAAUCUGCUGAAGAAAUGGUUUUGCAUAAUUUCCAAACGACAAAAGAGGCGGCUGCCUGAAACAGUGGCACAUUCUUCCUGAGCAUGUAGUACGUGUUACAGCAUGACUAUGUGAUUCUAUUGCUCACUCUUUAUUCUGCAAAUAAUUGGUAAUUAUACAUUGUCUGGAGCUAUAAGCACUGUUAAUUCAUCAUUGUCAAAGAGGGAUUUGAAAGAUUGAGCUAUUUGUAAAAUGUAGUUGGCAGCAUUAUAAACUAAUGUCUCAGGAAUCGUCAGGGUGUUUUAUUUAUUUAUUUUAAAGUCCUCAUUUCCUUAGGAAAUGACAGUAUGCAAAGCUGUAACUUUUCUGUUCCCACUGCAGAAUUGCCUUUUAUUGGUGUUUCGGUAAAGUUGCAAUCGCCUACAUGAGUUUCAGUUAAUGUGGUCUGAGGUUGUGGACAAAAUUCUUGUAGUUUCCAGUUCUGUGAGACUUGUUCAACCUGGCUAGUUUUACCAUGCCAGGAGAGUUCAGGAAGAACUUAUUGAAUCCUUUCAAAAGGAGAGAUUUACUAUUUAGGGAUACUUGAUAGAUCACAGGUUCUUGUCAAAUACUGGUCAAACAGGACUUUUCUUCCCCUGUUGUUGGGGUUUUAUGGAGGGUUAGGGGAGGUGCCAGAACUCACCAUGAACCCCUCCCUUGUUCUCUUGGAAUGGCAAUGGCACCCACCUGAGAGAUGCUGGAACUGAGUUCCGGUGAGUUCUGGCUGAAAAAAGCCCUGAUUUCAAUGUUUACACCUGUGUACUUCUGAAGGAUAACUGUUUGCAAAAUGUUGUAGGAUCAAUUGUCCUUUGUUUUAUUUGUUUUCAUUAUUAGUCAAUAAUUCUUACUAUUUCAAUUAUUAUUAUUCAUUGUUAUUAGGUCUAUUAUUACUUAUGAUAAAGUUCCUUUGUCCUAGUUAGCCUCUUGGCUCACAUAAAUAAUGUGAAUAACAUUGAUAACAUUGGAAUGGCUGUUAUAUACUGAAUUUCUUCACAACACUGUAAAGUCCCAAAACCUAGGGCUAGCUGUAUAUUGGUGUGUGUGUGUGUGUGAAAAACUAGAAUUUACUUUAUGUGUGUAUUCUUAUUUUUAAUGUUAAUAACAAAAAUACAGUUUAAGUACAUUCUUAUGUGUGAACUGCAUGUACGUGUAUUUGCAUGUAGGCAAUAUUUACAUAAAUUUUGCACCCUGAAUAACAUUCUUUUGUUAUUAAACAAAGUUAUACCGGUUAAAUUGUGGUCUUGGCUAAACACCAUGGCCAAAUUUUCAUAUCCCACUUGCCAGAAUUGAUUUAUGACUUGCUAGCUAGUUUUCUGAUGAUUUUGGAGGGGGAUGGUUCGCUCAAUUACACAUUCACCCCUCCACUGUUUGCCAUUCAUAGCUGCAUGUGGAAAAUUGAUCCAGAUGCGAAGGAAAGUGAUCCAUCAUGUAGCUAAAGGAUUGCCAAUGAGGAGUAGCACAGAGGAUCCCUCAUUUACCACAAAUAGCUAUGCAUGUUUUGCAAAAUGGAGGUAAUGUUGUCCUAAUACCAGGGAAUAAUGGUGUCCCCCAGUAGCAUUUUUAGCAGUGGUUACUCAGAGUAACAAAGUACCAAUGCUUUUAGCCACAGCAUGAGGCAGCAUACUUCAGUUGUCCUGGCAGCUUCUUCCUUUGUCGGUUAUUAAAGUGAUCCUUUAUGAAUGAAAACAGUGAUAAUAAAAAGGAGAAAAUGUGCAUCAUGCUGUGAACAAUUUCCUGCCGCUCUGACUGAUCUACUUCAAUGGCCCUUGCAGUUGUGGCUAUUUGCUUUGAAAGGCAAGUUAUGAAUGCAGAACUUAUGAGCUCACCAUGGUGACCUUUUCAUGUUCUCUCUGUUAAUGCCCAGAAGCUGAGUGUUUUAUUUUGUAUCUGAAAAAAACUGUAACCUUUGGGUAAUAAUGUAAGGGAAAAUCAGAGUACAGAGAGAAAAUUAGCUGCUUGCUAACUAUAUAGAAUGCCUGUCUUCCACCUUUUCAUCUGAGAAGCAUUCAAAUCAUACUUUUGUGUCAACACAUAAAAUGGUAUUUGGGAAGAAAGCAGUGGGAGUGAACUUCAACCCAGUAAACAGCUUGUUUUAAGCAAAGUUCUUGUUUCUAAGCCUGUCAAGUCCCCCUUAUGAAACAUAUAUACUAUUUCGCGACUUUAGCUCACAAGGCAGUGUGCAUAAAACAUUUAAUGCAACUCACAAAAACAAUUUAAAAACAAGUUUUGGUGUUCUUUUGGUUGCCAACAAACCUGGAUCUAAGAUAAAUUGCUUCACACUUCACCCCUCUAACGAAUAUAGCAACUAUUAUCAAUUAUUAUUAAUCACUUCAUAUCUAUACCACUUUAUAUUUUUAAGAAAAAGUCUCAAAGUGGUUUGCAGCACAUUAAAUAGAACAUUACUGGAGAAAGUCAGAUAUAAAGUAUACUGUCAAGGCAAAACAAUAAACAGGAAAUUAAAAUAUUAUCUUAAAGAUUACAAAAUAAAACAUUACUAAAGGAAGUCAAAUAUAAAAAUGCACUUUUAAAACAGCAACAUUAAAAAGAGAAUGAAAUAGUAUAAUAUGUGCAGAACAUAUCUGCUGCUUUUGCUGCCAGUCCUGCCAAUUGUAGUUCAUAGCUCAGGCUCUAUGACCUAGGUCUGCAUUAAGAGUCAGCCAAGAUAGUCGCUGGCCUCUUCAACAGCCACAGUUUUUGUAGCUGGGGCCACUUCCAGACCAGGUUUUAUUAUUAGUAGUACAGUAUUAGUAUUAGACUUUAUAUACUGCCCUAUAUCCGGAGGUCUCAGGGUGGUUCACAGAACAAAAUCAAUAUAUAAAACCACAAAAUUUAUAAUCAAAAUAAAAACAUCAACCCAAUACCCCCCCUCCCAAAAAAAACCCCACCACAUUUUAAAAGGACAUAGGAUAUAAAAAGGUCUGCAAGGCAGGAAGCAGGUCUUCCAGAACUCACAGCCCAGGUGGUCUGCCAUACCUGGGAAGAUGAUUCACUGAAAUGAACAUGCCCCUCUUUCCCUUUCUUAUACUUCUGAAAACCUUCAAGCUUCCUCAUGCCUGUUGAUGCUACCUUCUUCUUGUGUGUGCCAUUUUGGCUAUGUAAUGAUAGGCACUCAGGCAAUGAGUUUGCCAUUAGUAUGCAUGAUGAUAAUAAUUCCCUGCAUGGUCAGUGGACCUAGCACUAUUGACUUAGAAGCAGUUUACCACCAUCACUUGUGCAGUAUGUUUACUUGGAAGUAAGAGCUAGUGUGCUCAGGACCAUUUCCAUGUUAAGUAUCUAUCGGAAUAUAACUCUCCAUGUUUGUACUACAAAACAUAGAUUUGAUAUUGCCUCCAACCCCUUUCCUAACCUUUGCUGUUUUCUUUUUCGAAAGCUGCUUUCCAAAGACAGAUGUUGCUUAUAAAGCUGAACUCUUAUCAGGCCAUCAGCCAAAUCAGAAAGAGAUAAUCAUUGCAAUUGUCUUCCUCCUUGGAGUGAGCCUCUUGAUUUUUAAAAAGUGAGUUAGUGCAUUCCUAAGAAAACUGUUGGGGAUGAUCAACACAUGUAUGAGAAGUGGGGGGUAAAUAAAAUCAUUUUGAUAUGUGUGA